RNAcentral lists this ribosomal RNA (440 nucleotides) under uncultured Clostridium sp. Its description in RNAcentral is "bacterial SSU rRNA". It matches the Rfam family "Bacterial small subunit ribosomal RNA", at positions 338 to 795 of the family's 1533-position model. Lineage: Bacteria; Bacillati; Bacillota; Clostridia; Eubacteriales; Clostridiaceae. The record is from RNAcentral.
CCUACGGGAGGCUGCAGUGGGGAAUAUUGCACAAUGGGCGAAAGCCUGAUGCAGCAACGCCGCGUGGGUGAUGAAGGUUUUCGGAUUGUAAAGCCCUGUCUUUUGGGACGAUAAUGACGGUACCAAAGGAGGAAGCCACGGCUAACUACGUGCCAGCAGCCGCGGUAAUACGUAGGUGGCGAGCGUUGUCCGGAUUUACUGGGCGUAAAGGGUGCGUAGGCGGAUAUUUAAGUGGGAUGUGAAAACCCCGGGCUUAACCCGGGGACUGCAUUUCAAACUGGAUAUCUGGAGUGCAGGAGAGGAAAGCGGAAUUCCUAGUGUAGCGGUGAAAUGCGUAGAGAUUAGGAAGAACACCAGUGGCGAAGGCGGCUUUCUGGACUGUAACUGACGCUGAGGCACGAAAGCGUGGGUAGCAAACAGGAUUAGAUACCCUGGUAGUC